This is a long non-coding RNA of Leptopilina heterotoma, 883 nucleotides long. RefSeq lists it as uncharacterized. Lineage: Eukaryota; Metazoa; Arthropoda; Insecta; Hymenoptera; Figitidae. The transcript is spliced from 4 exons. The record is from RefSeq and is a predicted model, not a curated record.
CAUUUUGUUACUAUUUUUGUGUCAUUUGCAUUGUUCUGUUUGUUCAAUAUUGUUAAAAAAUAAGUUUUUAUUGUAAAGUAUAAAUAUUAAGAAGUGAUAAAUAACGAUCGGAGAAAACUUUGACCGCGUCGUCUACUUGUCGACUAUUGAAUUUUACUUGGUGUUUUAUUGUUCAUUUGCCAUUUGCAAUGUUUACAAUGUUUAGGAUUUUCUAUUUUCUUAAUUGAAUUUUCAUUCGUAGUUCAGUGAAAAAACUUGUUGAAUAAAUGCAAUAAAUGUAAAUUCAUGUGUCCAGUACUGACGUAAAUAGAAUAAUUAGCAAAUUUCCAAUGCUGUAGAACGCAAAAAAUAUUUUUAAUUAUUAGUGUUUUUUGAGAUGAAAAUUUUUUAUUCGGAAAGUUUUGCAUAUUUCCUGACUAUUGAUUAUCUCCUUAUCUUGAAUCAAUUGGACAUCAAGGAAACAUUUCUGAGAGAAAAUAGAAGUAUAUUUGGGAAAAAUAUAUCUAGAAAUAGGAAUGUUUUCACAAUGCCGACAAUUCUGGUUUUAAUCCUGGCAAUAAUUAUAAAGCUAAUGUCUUGGAAUUUCAAUAAUUAUCGAAUUAAUGGACCAUAUAGGGAUGAGAAUAAUGUAUGCAUCUGCUGUAUAGUUGGUUGCAGUUAAGAGAAAGAGAAGAGAGUGGCGCAGACUACCAGAUGCAGUAAAUUUCCUUACUAGCACUAUGAAGACGAGUUUAAAAUUUUUCAAUGGUAGGAUUUAGCAGUGAAUUUUUGAAAAAUUAUCAUCUUGGACAAUGGAAUUGCGAAGUUGUGAAAUGUAAAAUUACGUGAAUUUUGAAUUAUUACAUUUUUCAUUGUAGAAAUAAAUGUCUAAUGGCUGGAAAAA